This 478-nucleotide ribosomal RNA is filed under the name uncultured bacterium. RNAcentral's name for it is "partial 16S ribosomal RNA". It matches the Rfam family "Bacterial small subunit ribosomal RNA", at positions 28 to 523 of the family's 1533-position model. The record is from RNAcentral.
GACGAACGCUGGCGGCGUGCUUAACACAUGCAAGUCGAACGGUAAGGCCCUUCGGGGUACACGAGUGGCGAACGGGUGAGUAACACGUGGGUGAUCUGCCCUGCACUUCGGGAUAAGCCUGGGAAACUGGGUCUAAUACCGGAUAGGACCACUGCCUGCAUGGGUGGUGGUGGAAAGCUUUUGUGGCGUGGGAUGGGCCCGCGGCCUAUCGGCUUGGUGGUGGGGUGAUGGCCUACCAAGGCGACGACGGGUAGCCGGCCUGAGAGGGUGACCGGGCACACUGGGACUGAGAUACGGCCCAGACUCCUACGGGAGGCAGCAGUGGGGAAUAUUGCACAAUGGGCGCAAGCCUGAUGCAGCGACGCCGCGUGAGGGAUGACGGCCUUCGGGUUGUAAACCUCUUUCAGCACCGACGAAGCGCAAGUGACGGUAGGUGCAGAAGAAGGACCCGCCAACUACGUGCCAGCAGCCGCCGUAA